AGAGUUUGAUCCUGGCUCAGAUUGAACGCUGGCGGCAGGCUUAACACAUGCAAGUCGAGCGGGGAGAUGUAGCUUGCUACAUUUCCUAGCGGCGGACGGGUGAGUAAUGCUUAGGAAUCUGCCUAUUAGUGGGGGACAACAUUCCGAAAGGAAUGCUAAUACCGCAUACGCCCUACGGGGGAAAGCAGGGGAUCUUCGGACCUUGCGCUAAUAGAUGAGCCUAAGUCAGAUUAGCUAGUUGGUGGGGUAAAGGCCUACCAAGGCGACGAUCUGUAGCGGGUCUGAGAGGAUGAUCCGCCACACUGGGACUGAGACACGGCCCAGACUCCUACGGGAGGCAGCAGUGGGGAAUAUUGGACAAUGGGCGCAAGCCUGAUCCAGCCAUGCCGCGUGUGUGAAGAAGGCCUUUUGGUUGUAAAGCACUUUAAGCGAGGAGGAGGCUACUUGGAUUAAUACUCUAGGAUAGUGGACGUUACUCGCAGAAUAAGCACCGGCUAACUCUGUGCCAGCAGCCGCGGUAAUA
Molecule: ribosomal RNA, 523 nt
Filed under: uncultured bacterium
Lineage: Bacteria
Description: bacterial SSU rRNA
Rfam family: Bacterial small subunit ribosomal RNA
Source: RNAcentral